UGCCAGCAGCCGCGGUAAUACGGAGGGUCCAAGCGUUAUCCGGAAUCAUUGGGUUUAAAGGGUCCGCAGGCGGGCUAUUAAGUCAGUGGUGAAAUCUCUUGGCUUAACCAAGAAAUUGCCAUUGAAACUAUUAGUCUUGAAUUCGGUCGAAGUGGGCGGAAUGUGUCAUGUAGCGGUGAAAUGCAUAGAUAUGACACAGAACACCGAUAGCGAAGGCAGCUCACUAGGCCUGAAUUGACGCUCAGGGACGAAAGCGUGGGGAGCGAACAGGAUUAGAUA
Molecule: ribosomal RNA, 279 nt
Filed under: uncultured bacterium
Lineage: Bacteria
Description: partial 16S ribosomal RNA
Rfam family: Bacterial small subunit ribosomal RNA
Source: RNAcentral